GUUUUAGCCGCCGCGGUAAUACGGGGGGGGCAAGCGUUGUUCGGAAUUACUGGGCGUAAAGGGUUCGUAGGUGGCCUGCUAAGUCACACGUGAAAUCCCUCAGCUUAACUGGGGAACUGCGUGUGAUACUGGCGAGCUUGAGUGCAGGAGAGGAACGCGGAAUUCCAGGUGUAGCGGUGAAAUGCGUAGAUAUCUGGAGGAACACCGGUGGCGAAGGCGGCGUUCUGGACUGCAACUGACACUGAUGAACGAAAGCCAGGGGAGCAAACGGGAUUAGAAACCCUUGUAGUCC
This 292-nucleotide ribosomal RNA is filed under the name uncultured bacterium. RNAcentral describes it as "partial 16S ribosomal RNA". It matches the Rfam family "Bacterial small subunit ribosomal RNA", at positions 505 to 796 of the family's 1533-position model. The record is from RNAcentral.